CCUACGGGAGGCUGCAGUGGGGAAUAUUGGACAAUGGGGGCAACCCUGAUCCAGCCAUGCCGCGUGUGUGAAGAAGGCCCUCGGGUUGUAAAGCACUUUCAGUGAGGAAGAACGCCUGGUGGUUAAUACCCAUCAGGAAAGACAUCACUCACAGAAGAAGCACCGGCUAACUCCGUGCCAGCAGCCGCGGUAAUACGGAGGGUGCGAGCGUUAAUCGGAAUUACUGGGCGUAAAGCGCGCGUAGGUGGCUUGAUAAGCCGGUUGUGAAAGCCCCGGGCUCAACCUGGGAACGGCAUCCGGAACUGUCAAGCUAGAGUGCAGGAGAGGAAGGCAGAAUUCCCGGUGUAGCGGUGAAAUGCGUAGAGAUCGGGAGGAAUACCAGUGGCGAAGGCGGCCUUCUGGACUGACACUGACACUGAGGUGCGAAAGCGUGGGUAGCAAACAGGAUUAGAUACCCUAGUAGUC
This 465-nucleotide ribosomal RNA is filed under the name Vreelandella stevensii. Its description in RNAcentral is "partial 16S ribosomal RNA". It matches the Rfam family "Bacterial small subunit ribosomal RNA", at positions 338 to 795 of the family's 1533-position model. The record is from RNAcentral. Lineage: Bacteria; Pseudomonadati; Pseudomonadota; Gammaproteobacteria; Oceanospirillales; Halomonadaceae.